RNAcentral lists this ribosomal RNA (472 nucleotides) under uncultured organism. Its description in RNAcentral is "partial 16S ribosomal RNA". It matches the Rfam family "Bacterial small subunit ribosomal RNA", at positions 333 to 797 of the family's 1533-position model. The record is from RNAcentral.
ACACUCCUGCGGGAGGCAGCAGUGGGGAAUUUUGGACAAUGGGCGAAAGCCUGAUCCAGCAAUGCCGCGUGAGUGAAGAAGGCCUUCGGGUUGUAAAGCUCUUUUGUCAGGGAAGAAACGGUGAAAGCUAAUAUCUUUUGCUAAUGACGGUACCUGAAGAAUAAGCACCGGCUAACUACGUGCCAGCAGCCGCGGUAAUACGUAGGGUGCAAGCGUUAAUCGGAAUUAUUGGGCGUAAAGCGUGCGCAGGCGGUUUUGUAAGUCUGAUGUGAAAUCCCCGGGCUCAACCUGGGAAUUGCAUUGGAGACUGCAAGGCUAGAAUCUGGCAGAGGGAGGUAGAAUUCCACGUGUAGCAGUGAAAUGCGUAGAUAUGUGGAGGAACACCGAUGGCGAAGGCAGCCCCCUGGGUCAAGAUUGACGCUCAUGCACGAAAGCGUGGGGAGCAAACAGGAUUAGAAACCCCAGUAGUCCC